AGCGUACACGGUGGAUGCCCUGGCAGUCAGAGGCGAUGAAGGACGUGCUAAUCUGCGAUAAGCGUCGGUAAGGUGAUAUGAACCGUUAUAACCGGCGAUUUCCGAAUGGGGAAACCCAGUGUGUUUCGACACACUAUCAUUAACUGAAUCCAUAGGUUAAUGAGGCGAACCGGGGGAACUGAAACAUCUAAGUACCCCGAGGAAAAGAAAUCAACCGAGAUUCCCCCAGUAGCGGCGAGCGAACGGGGAGCAGCCCAGAGCCUGAAUCAGUGUGUGUGUUAGUGGAAGCGUCUGGAAAGGCGCGCGAUACAGGGUGACAGCCCCGUACACAAAAAUGCACAUGCUGUGAGCUCGAUGAGUAGGGCGGGACACGUGGUAUCCUGUCUGAAUAUGGGGGGACCAUCCUCCAAGGCUAAAUACUCCUGACUGACCGAUAGUGAACCAGUACCGUGAGGGAAAGGCGAAAAGAACCCCGGCGAGGGGAGUGAAAAAGAACCUGAAACCGUGUACGUACAAGCAGUGGGAGCCUCUUUAUGGGGUGACUGCGUACCUUUUGUAUAAUGGGUCAGCGACUUAUAUUCUGUAGCAAGGUUAACCGAAUAGGGGAGCCGAAGGGAAACCGAGUCUUAACUGGGCGUUAAGUUGCAGGGUAUAGACCCGAAACCCGGUGAUCUAGCCAUGGGCAGGUUGAAGGUUGGGUAACACUAACUGGAGGACCGAACCGACUAAUGUUGAAAAAUUAGCGGAUGACUUGUGGCUGGGGGUGAAAGGCCAAUCAAACCGGGAGAUAGCUGGUUCUCCCCGAAAGCUAUUUAGGUAGCGCCUCGUGAAUUCAUCUCCGGGGGUAGAGCACUGUUUCGGCAAGGGGGUCAUCCCGACUUACCAACCCGAUGCAAACUGCGAAUACCGGAGAAUGUUAUCACGGGAGACACACGGCGGGUGCUAACGUCCGUCGUGAAGAGGGAAACAACCCAGACCGCCAGCUAAGGUCCCAAAGUCAUGGUUAAGUGGGAAACGAUGUGGGAAGGCCCAGACAGCCAGGAUGUUGGCUUAGAAGCAGCCAUCAUUUAAAGAAAGCGUAAUAGCUCACUGGUCGAGUCGGCCUGCGCGGAAGAUGUAACGGGGCUAAACCAUGCACCGAAGCUGCGGCAGCGACGCUUAUGCGUUGUUGGGUAGGGGAGCGUUCUGUAAGCCUGUGAAGGUGUGCUGUGAGGCAUGCUGGAGGUAUCAGAAGUGCGAAUGCUGACAUAAGUAACGAUAAAGCGGGUGAAAAGCCCGCUCGCCGGAAGACCAAGGGUUCCUGUCCAACGUUAAUCGGGGCAGGGUGAGUCGACCCCUAAGGCGAGGCCGAAAGGCGUAGUCGAUGGGAAACAGGUUAAUAUUCCUGUACUUGGUGUUACUGCGAAGGGGGGACGGAGAAGGCUAUGUUGGCCGGGCGACGGUUGUCCCGGUUUAAGCGUGUAGGCUGGUUUUCCAGGCAAAUCCGGAAAAUCAAGGCUGAGGCGUGAUGACGAGGCACUACGGUGCUGAAGCAACAAAUGCCCUGCUUCCAGGAAAAGCCUCUAAGCAUCAGGUAACAUCAAAUCGUACCCCAAACCGACACAGGUGGUCAGGUAGAGAAUACCAAGGCGCUUGAGAGAACUCGGGUGAAGGAACUAGGCAAAAUGGUGCCGUAACUUCGGGAGAAGGCACGCUGAUAUGUAGGUGAAGNUGGAGCUGAAAUCAGUCGAAGAUACCAGCUGGCUGCAACUGUUUAUUAAAAACACAGCACUGUGCAAACACGAAAGUGGACGUAUACGGUGUGACGCCUGCCCGGUGCCGGAAGGUUAAUUGAUGGGGUUAGCGCAAGCGAAGCUCUUGAUCGAAGCCCCGGUAAACGGCGGCCGUAACUAUAACGGUCCUAAGGUAGCGAAAUUCCUUGUCGGGUAAGUUCCGACCUGCACGAAUGGCGUAAUGAUGGCCAGGCUGUCUCCACCCGAGACUCAGUGAAAUUGAACUCGCUGUGAAGAUGCAGUGUACCCGCGGCAAGACGGAAAGACCCCGUGAACCUUUACUAUAGCUUGACACUGAACAUUGAGCCUUGAUGUGUAGGAUAGGUGGGAGGCUUUGAAGUGUGGACGCCAGUCUGCAUGGAGCCGACCUUGAAAUACCACCCUUUAAUGUUUGAUGUUCUAACGUUGACCCGUAAUCCGGGUUGCGGACAGUGUCUGGUGGGUAGUUUGACUGGGGCGGUCUCCUCCUAAAGAGUAACGGAGGAGCACGAAGGUUGGCUAAUCCUGGUCGGACAUCAGGAGGUUAGUGCAAUGGCAUAAGCCAGCUUGACUGCGAGCGUGACGGCGCGAGCAGGUGCGAAAGCAGGUCAUAGUGAUCCGGUGGUUCUGAAUGGAAGGGCCAUCGCUCAACGGAUAAAAGGUACUCCGGGGAUAACAGGCUGAUACCGCCCAAGAGUUCAUAUCGACGGCGGUGUUUGGCACCUCGAUGUCGGCUCAUCACAUCCUGGGGCUGAAGUAGGUCCCAAGGGUAUGGCUGUUCGCCAUUUAAAGUGGUACGCGAGCUGGGUUUAGAACGUCGUGAGACAGUUCGGUCCCUAUCUGCCGUGGGCGCUGGAGAACUGAGGGGGGCUGCUCCUAGUACGAGAGGACCGGAGUGGACGCAUCACUGGUGUUCGGGUUGUCAUGCCAAUGGCACUGCCCGGUAGCUAAAUGCGGAAGAGAUAAGUGCUGAAAGCAUCUAAGCACGAAACUUGCCCCGAGAUGAGUUCUCCCUGACUCCUUGA
Molecule: ribosomal RNA, 2776 nt
Filed under: Escherichia coli
Lineage: Bacteria; Pseudomonadati; Pseudomonadota; Gammaproteobacteria; Enterobacterales; Enterobacteriaceae
Description: bacterial LSU rRNA
Rfam family: Bacterial large subunit ribosomal RNA
Source: RNAcentral